RNAcentral lists this ribosomal RNA (560 nucleotides) under Petemathis portoricensis. RNAcentral's name for it is "partial 16S ribosomal RNA". The stretch from base 168 to 468 matches the Rfam family "Archaeal large subunit ribosomal RNA", at positions 2153 to 2718 of the family's 2987-position model. Lineage: Eukaryota; Metazoa; Arthropoda; Arachnida; Araneae; Salticidae. The record is from RNAcentral.
UUAAUAGUAAAAUCUGCUCAAUGAGUUUUAAAUAGCCGCAAUUUGUGCUAAGGUAGCAUAAUCAUUUGUCUUUUAAAUAAAGACUAGAACAAAAGAUUUAACAUUUUAAUCUUUUUAUUAAAUAUUUAUUUUCAAUUUUUUUUAAAUGUUAAAAAACAUUUAUUUUAUAGAAAGACGAUAAGACCCUAUUGAACUUAACUUUAGUUAAACUGGGGUAGUUAUUUAAUUAUUAUUUUAAAUUAUUUAUUUAAUAACAAAUCUAUUUUAAAAUAAAUUAUCAAGUUACCAUAGGGAUAACAGCGCAAUUAUAUUUUUAAGUCCUUAUACAAAAAAUAGAUUACGACCUCGAUGUUGAAUUAAUAACCUAAUUUUUAAAGUAAAUUUUAUUACAGGAAGUCUGUUCGACUUUUAAACAAUUACAUGAUUUGAGUUCAGACCGGUAUAAGCCAGGUCGGUUUCUAUCUUCUAUAAAAUUUUCUUGUAGUACGAAAGGACCUAAGAAUUUAAUAUCAAUUAAUUAAUUAGCAAAAAAAUGCAUUAGAAUUAGAAUCUAAAAAAAC